Long non-coding RNA from Dreissena polymorpha, 366 nucleotides. RefSeq lists it as uncharacterized. The transcript is spliced from 3 exons. The record is from RefSeq and is a predicted model, not a curated record. NCBI's taxonomy places the organism in Eukaryota, Metazoa, Mollusca, Bivalvia, Myida, Dreissenidae.
UGAAGUAAUUUGAGCAAAGUUCUCACUGUUUAGUAAUGUAUACAUUGUUUAAGGUACAUUUUAAUUUCACAUUUUGUAGGUGGACUUCAAUAUGUAUGAUCUACUUAUGCUGCCACAAUGUAAAGGCAACAAUCACUGGGUUUUGCUGGUUGCAAGUGUUAUGUCCAGGACUGUAACCAUUUACGACUCAUUGGGUGGUAACAACAAGGCCUUGUUCGAUUUGUUCUGCCAGUUCAUGUGUCAACGAGGGCAAAUUGUGAAAGAUGGCUUGGAAAAAAUCAGUUCAGAGUUAAAAGCGCCACCUUGCAACAAACAGCGCCACGGAAACAGCUGUGGAGUGUUUGCAUUGAUGACUGCCAAAUGUUU